CUGACUUAUAAAAGCCAUAGUCGAGGUUCUUGGCCCUGGAUUGUUAUAUUCCUUAGACACUGUAAUCAGAAUUUUGAGUUUGUGGAUACGUUAUUUUUCUAGUUGUACACGGCGUCUUUAACAAAUCCUCAAAAAAUUUCCUGACCCCAAAAGAAGAAUGAAAAUUCUAGAAAUAGGUACUGAACCAGGAAAAGCAGCAAGGAAAGCUCUGAGAUUUUUGAAAUUUCUACUGAUACAAUAUGGUUUGGAUUUGUGUCCUUGCCCAAAUCUCAUGGUGAAUUGUAAUUCCCAGUGCUGGAGAAGAGGCCUAGUAGGACGUGAUUGGAUUGUGGGUGUGGAUGUCCCCCUUGCUGUUCUCAUGAUGGUUCUGCGCCAGGCACUUGCAGUAUUAUGUCGUCUAAUCUCCCAGCGUCCAAAAAGCAAAGUGUUUUACCUGCCCCUCGCCCCUGACCUUUUUACUUACAGGUAAGAAGCCUGGUCUUCUGAGAGUGUAAUUUCCCCAAGGGUGUGGUAGCAGGCAGGAUCUGUGCCCACCACUCCUUCCCCAUCUGCAACGAACAUGGAAUCUCUGCUUUUUAUCAGUUCUGUGCAUCCAUGCAUCCAGCCCUCAGCUUCUGUUAACUGCUUGCUGAUGGCUCACACCAGCCAGUUUCAGAUAUUACUUUUGGGCAAUGAGUUGGCUGCUCAACUAGUAAAGAGGACCAGGGGGCCUGGGAGUUCAAAUCACCCUGAGCACCAUCACCGCCAGUGCUAGUACACCCAGUACUACGCUCUGAGGCUGGAUAAGGCUCUAGAGCCCCCCGUAGAGACUGGUGGAGCCUGGGACUCCAUCUGCAGUCUCAUCCUUGCUAAGCUUUCCCUUCUCUGUCUUGCCUUCCUGACUCCUGAGAGAAUUAACUAAUAAAUAUCUUGCACUGGAAAACCUGCCUCAGAAACUGCUGGUGAGAGGAUGCACACUUGCAUGCUCAGGCCAGCUGGACAACCUAAAGGUCACCAAGCUCAGCUCUGAUCUGCGUUUCCUGGCCUUAGUUACAGCAUAAGAACCAAUGGCCACAGAUGGGAGGGAUAACAGCAUCUAUGAAGAAUCAGUAUCUAGAAAUUAUUUAUAUUUAGCUUCAUUUUUGCUAAGUAAUUCUAUGAACUCUUACCAGUGAGAAUCUUGUAAAGUAAAAACAUUUGAAGAUUAAGUUAAACAGAGCAGAAAUUAUAUUAUACAUUAUUCUUCAAUAUGAUCUCUAAUGACUUAGUUUUCCAGUAUGUGGAUGGCAAAUAUGUGGAUUACACAAAGCAUUACUAAAGUGAGCUGCAUAAAUUCCAAAAGGCUUCUAAUACUAGCCCAACGGUGAGAACUCUUGAGUAAAUUUAAAUAUUAUGUUUGAGGGUGACUCCAAAGGGAACAGGAUAAGCAACGGUCCCAAUAACACAUGACACAUUGACAGGCCCCACUAGUGUGCUCUGGCUUAGUGUGUUGUGGAUGUUUGGAGCUGUAUGUGACCUUGUCCUGUCUGUGAAUCAUGGAUUGAGAGAUCGUCAGUGUACGCCUUUGCCACACAUGGUAACGACUUGUGUUCAGUUUGAAGCUCCAACAAGUCAGUGAUAGAUGAAGUGUGGAUAGCUGCAUACGUGAGCAGUGUGGUCACUAGUGGCAGUACCAGGAAGAGGUUGCAGGUAUACAGUGCAAUUCAAUUCCAGACCUGUGUUUUUAUUGACUGUGGUGUUUUGUGCUUAAUUUUUCUUUAAGAAAAAAUAGCUUAAGAAGAAAAUACUUAGAAAAUUCUGUAACACAUAGGGUUUGAUGAAAGCAAGCACGUUGAUAAUCAUAAUUUAUUAUGUAGCUUUUUUCUUCAACAAAUCACGGAUGUGAAUUUAUUUGCAUUAUACAUACUUUUUUCUCUAGAACACUUGCUAAGACAAAGAGGCUCAGAUUUUUGAAGAGGUAUUUUCCUUUCCUUUAGGAAAACCUCAACAUGAUUUUUUAGAGGUAUUACUGUUUUUGUCGGGAAAAGUUAGUUCUUUUACUAAGAG
This 2025-nucleotide long non-coding RNA is filed under the name Papio anubis (olive baboon). Its description in RNAcentral is "lncRNA (ENSPANG00000038410.1)". Lineage: Eukaryota; Metazoa; Chordata; Mammalia; Primates; Cercopithecidae. The record is from RNAcentral.